Molecule: long non-coding RNA, 1408 nt
Organism: Passer domesticus (house sparrow)
Lineage: Eukaryota; Metazoa; Chordata; Aves; Passeriformes; Passeridae
Exons: 2
Source: RefSeq, a predicted model, not a curated record
AUCUUGCUGAGCUACAGCAAUAACAACCUUAGGCCGAAUGUGAGGUACUACCACCUACAUGCACAGGUUGCAGAGAAUGCACCCCUUGACGCAACUUUCCUGGUAACAUGUCCCUGCUCUGCUGGGAAUUCAGAUAGACACAUACCUACUGCAAGGAGCUUUUUUCUUCUUCAGCUCUGUUGAGCAUUGUUUCCUAUUCCUCCUGUUGUGUCAGAAGAGUCUUGGUCACCUUCUGGUUUAUUCCUUUUUUUCCUUCUACCCACAGAAUAUUAGAAUAUGUUGAUAUGACAGUCAGGUGAGAGAGAAAGCUAGAUAAGCUUUCCCAUGAAUUGGCCUGGGAAGCUUUAGGGAGCUGAAGAGAAAGAAUUGUAAAAUAUCUGCAGGUGGUGUUUGUAACAAGAUGUUUCUCAUAAGAGGUUUUACUCCAAGGGUGUCUUCUUAAUUAGCCAAUUGUGUGAAAAGUGUUGAUUAAAUGACUAAUCAGGUCCACCUGUAUCAGACCAGGGUAUAAAAGAAGGAGUUUCAAAAGACAUGGGGCUUUUAGCUUCUUAGCACUCUCACUUAGGGUCUGUGUCAUUCUUGAAUUAAUGGUGGCAAGACUAUUCUCCCAUUUUCUUUUUCUUAAUGACAGUGGUGAUAAAUUGAAGAGAAGAUGUUUUGGGGUGAUGCAGAGGACCAGACACUAUUCAAACAUAAGGUGCAGAGGAUUUUGUCCCUUCGUAUAUCUGAAAGUCCUAGCGAGCCCUUCUGUUAGAGAGCCCCUCCAGGAACGGAGAUGUGCAGUGUGCUGAAAAGGGAUCCCAGGGGCACAAGAGAUGGUGGGAGUUGGAAACCACAAGCAAUUUCUAGCCCUUUUGUCUGGGCUAAAAAUGUACAUCUUGUAUCUGUUCUUUUCUAUGAGGUUCUUAAGGGUUCUGCUGCAAUCCUGCUCCAGCGUAAUGGCUCUGCAUGAAGGAGAUAUCCAGCUUUCAUUCAGAAUAGAGAUUUAAGCAUUCCCAUGUAAUUCCAUACUGAAUGGCUGGAUGGCAGAUUUUUGUGCUGAAGUUCUGAGGAGCCAGUCCAUACAAGGUUCUUUGACUAAUCAUUUUGCUCCUCAAGUCAUCCCUAAAAUUUAAAUUACCCAGACAGUUCUUCAAAUCCCAGUUCAGCUCAUUAGGAAGUGUGAGUCCCUGGGAACAGCAAACCCAGCACAGGACACCUUGCAUGCAGUGCUAUCUUUUGUAUGCUGUUUUUAACAGCUUUCUGAAAAAGAGGUUCAAUUACAGUUUGCCUUGGAAGAGGUUUUUUCUGAGCUGCUGAACCUCUCAAGCAGUGUUUACAGGCGAGUGCCUGCCAGGCUUUGAUGUUUGCUGGAGGAGGUCCAGCCCAUGGGCAAGGCACCAGCUCCAGCUCCUGCUGGAGGGGCCAA